RNAcentral lists this ribosomal RNA (443 nucleotides) under uncultured bacterium. RNAcentral's name for it is "partial 16S ribosomal RNA". It matches the Rfam family "Bacterial small subunit ribosomal RNA", at positions 28 to 507 of the family's 1533-position model. The record is from RNAcentral.
GAUGAACGCUGGCGGCAUGCCUAACACACGCAAGUCGAUCGGUAAGGCUCUUCGGAGUACACGAGAGGCGGACGGCUGAGUAACGCGUAGGAACACACCCUGCAGUGAGGGAUAAGACACCGAAAGGUGUUCUAAUACCGCAUACGGUCUUCGGAUUAAAGCAUUUAUGCGCUGAAGGAGUGGCCUGCGUCAUAUUAGAUAGUUGGUGAGGUAAUGGCUCACCAAGUCGAUGAUGUGUAGCUGGUCUGAGAGGAUGAUCAGCCAGACUGGAACUGAGACACGGUCCAGACUCCUACGGGAGGCAGCAGUGAGGAAUAUUUCACAAUGAGCGAAAGCUUGAUGGAGCAAUGCCGCGUGCAGGAUGAAGGCCCUCGGGUUGUAAACUGCUUUUAUAAGAGAAGAUUAUGACGGUAACUUAUGAAUAAGGGACGGCUAACUACGUG